GUCUACGGCCAUGCUACCCUGAACAAGCCCGAUCCCGUCUGAUCUUGUAAGCUAAGCAGGGUCGGGCCUGGUUAGUACUUGGAUGGGAGACCACAUAGGAAGACCAGGUGCUAUAGACG
This 119-nucleotide ribosomal RNA is filed under the name Pteropus alecto (black flying fox). Lineage: Eukaryota; Metazoa; Chordata; Mammalia; Chiroptera; Pteropodidae. The record is from RNAcentral.